This 305-nucleotide ribosomal RNA is filed under the name uncultured bacterium. RNAcentral's name for it is "bacterial SSU rRNA". It matches the Rfam family "Bacterial small subunit ribosomal RNA", at positions 333 to 636 of the family's 1533-position model. The record is from RNAcentral.
GGAGCCCUACGGGACGCAGCAGUGAGGAAUAUUGGUUAAUGGGCGGGAGCCUGAACCGGCCAAGUCGCGUGAGGGAAGAAGGUACUGAGUAUUGUAAGCCUCUUUUGCCAGGGGACAAAGGCGGCCACGGGUGGCCGUAAGAGGGUACCUGGAGAAAAAGCAUCGGCUAACUCCGUGCCAGCAGCCGCGGUAAUACGGAGGAUGCGAGCGUUAUCCGGAUUUAUUGGGUUUAAAGGGUGCGCAGGCGGCGUGUCAAGUCAGCGGUAAAAUGUCGGGGCUCAACCCCGGCCGGCCGUUGAAACUGG